RNAcentral lists this transfer RNA (75 nucleotides) under Actinoplanes campanulatus. RNAcentral's name for it is "tRNA-Ile". It matches the Rfam family "tRNA". From Rfam's summary of the family: Transfer RNA (tRNA) molecules are approximately 80 nucleotides in length. Their secondary structure includes four short double-helical elements and three loops (D, anti-codon, and T loops). Lineage: Bacteria; Bacillati; Actinomycetota; Actinomycetes; Micromonosporales; Micromonosporaceae. The record is from RNAcentral. RNAcentral also lists the same sequence under 1 other name.
GCUGGUGUAGCUCAGUCGGUCAGAGCAUCGAGCCGAUAACUCGAAGGCCGGCGGUUCGAUUCCGCCCACCAGCAC